CGUAGGAGACGAGCGUUAUCCGGAUUUACUGGGCGUAAAGCGUGUGCAGGCGGUUCGGCAAGUUGGAUGUGAAAUCUCCCGGCUCAACUGGGAGGGGUCGUUCAAAACUACCGAACUUGAGGUCAUCAGAGGAAGGUGGAAUUCCGGGUGUGGUGGUGAAAUGCGUAGAUAUCCGGAGGAACACCAGUGGCGAAGGCGGCCUUCUGGGAUGAUCCUGACGCUCAGACACGAAAGCUAGGGGAGCGAACGGGAUUAGAGACCCCGGUAGUCCUAGCUGUAAACGAUGUAGACUUGGCGUCGGAGGGUUCAAAACCUUCGGUGUCGUAGCUAACGCGAUAAGUCUACCGCCUGGGGACUACGGCCGCAAGGUUA
This 372-nucleotide ribosomal RNA is filed under the name uncultured organism. RNAcentral describes it as "bacterial SSU rRNA". It matches the Rfam family "Bacterial small subunit ribosomal RNA", at positions 526 to 896 of the family's 1533-position model. The record is from RNAcentral.